GACGAACGCUGGCGGCGUGCUUAACACAUGCAAGUCGAACGGAAAGGCCCUGCUUUUGUGGGGUUCUCGAGUGGCGAACGGGGGUGUAAAACGCGAGUAAACUGCCCUUGACUUUCGGAUAACUUCUGGGAACUGGGGCUAAUACCGGAUAGGAGCUCCUGCAGCAUGGGGGGGGUUGGAAAGUUUCGGCGGUUGGGGAUGGAAUGGCGGCUUAUCAGCUUGUUGGUGGGGUUGUGGCUUACCAAGGCUUUGACGGGUAGCCGGCCUGAGAGGGUGACCGGCCACAUUGGGACUGAGAUACGGCCCAGACUCCUACGGGAGGCAGCAGUGGGGAAUAUUGCACAAUGGGCCGAAGCCUGAUGCAGCAACGCCGCGUGCGGGAUGACGGCCUUCGGGUUGUAAACCGCUUUCGCCUGUGACGAAGCGUGAGUGACGGUAAUGGGUAAAGAAGCACCGGCUAACUACGUG
This 468-nucleotide ribosomal RNA is filed under the name uncultured bacterium. RNAcentral's name for it is "partial 16S ribosomal RNA". It matches the Rfam family "Bacterial small subunit ribosomal RNA", at positions 28 to 507 of the family's 1533-position model. The record is from RNAcentral.